UUACGACCAUAUCACGUGGUAACCAACGGUUCCCGUACGAUCACAGAAGUUAAGCAAUGCCGAGUCUGAUCAGUAUCUAGAUGAGUGAUCGUUUGGGAAUAUUCGAUGCUGUAAG
Non-coding RNA from Acanthosepion pharaonis, 115 nucleotides. The record is from the annotation of a GenBank genome assembly. Lineage: Eukaryota; Metazoa; Mollusca; Cephalopoda; Sepiida; Sepiidae.